This is a non-coding RNA of Lolium perenne, 239 nucleotides long. NCBI's taxonomy places the organism in Eukaryota, Viridiplantae, Streptophyta, Magnoliopsida, Poales, Poaceae. The record is from RefSeq and is a predicted model, not a curated record.
AGGCUGACAUCGAAAGUUUUCGACAGUUCUUCGCCGGAAUUAUGCUCACUUAUGAUUCUCCUGAUUAUUUGGCAAGUUUCGUUCGCGAACAGAUUGAAGAAUUCGAAAGGAAGGAUACUCUCUUGAACAAGCGUAGGAGGGAGCAUACUGAUUGAUAUUCUCAGAGCCCUGCAGGAGUAUGAAAUGUUGAAGUUCAAGACUAUGAAGAGCAAGCGUGUAAGGUUGAGAAGUUUGAGUGC